CGACUAGUUCGCAAGGCCUGUAAGUCUUUGUUUCUAAUAUUUAAGUUAGAUAUAUCCAAAAGAAAAGUUAUAAUGUAGAUUUUCAAUAUUUUUUCUUUUGCUGCAAUAGUUAAACAAUGCGUGUUAGUAACCUGGCAGCAUACCAUAACCAAGACGAUCCUGUAAUACGCGAUCAAAGUCAGGUCCAAACACUCGUGUCAUCUCCUCCACUUUCUUGUUUCGAGCUUUCGUCGCAUCUUCAUAUUCUGACAGUGCUUUCAUAUACAUAUCAUGAGCUUUCAAUAACUGCUUCAUUAUCUCAUCAACUCUCUCCUUCAGCGGCCCUAACGAAUGUUCUAAGACCAUCAACUCUUUCUGUAAUGGCUCGUUUCCAAACUUGAGUCUAGCAACCAUGUUUAGUCUCUUGUGGGCCCACGAGAGAUCGAAUCCUAAAGCCUCCAAGUCUUUAAAAUCUUGCCAUAGACCGGUUAUCUGCUCCUGCGCCAGUGUAUCCACGGUUAAUCCCAUAAAACGUUUAAUGGUUGCAUGGAGUUCUUUCAAGUUGCCCAACCAAAACGGUGUCACACGAAUCUGGACCCGUUGAAAUGUGUUGGGGUAGCGGUGCUCUACAGCCUCAAAUAGCUCCUUUGCCUCUCGUCCCACAACAUUCCCUCGCCAUAUUUCUACAGUUCCAUGAGGUUCCUCACAUGUCUUCUUCUCAGGCAUCUCCGUUUGCAUCAACACAUAAGGAUCUUCGGUCUUUAGUGUCAGUGACCCAUCAAGACACGCGGAGCUUCUUUUGUAAGACGUCUCUCCCCUUUUACUAAAACUUUUGAUGGGAUCAAAUUGAGAUUCUUCUGUUUUAACAGAGGCCAACUUUCUUUGCUCUUGAGAAGAUGAUCUUGAAAGCUCGUUAGUGGAUCGAUUAUCAUCUUUGUUGUCCAUUGUUGGUUGUGUGAUGGCUGGGGCUUCUGUAAAUCGCUUCUUCUUGCUGGCUUCCUUGGAAGUAUGAUUGUCUACAGGCAGUAUAAAAGCGAAUAAAAUGGUGAAAAACAACGAUUACUUAGAAAAUACCAGCGGCUCGGCUGGAGGUAGGAAAGCAAGCUUGAAGAGCACACUCGAGUAACGAGGGGAAAUCAGGAGAACAGUGUUGAAUAGACGGCCAUUAUUUUCAAUUUGGGGGGAGGUUGUGCCAAUAAUGGCUGGAAGUUAA
Molecule: long non-coding RNA, 1192 nt
Filed under: Lactuca sativa (garden lettuce)
Lineage: Eukaryota; Viridiplantae; Streptophyta; Magnoliopsida; Asterales; Asteraceae
Description: long non-coding RNA (LSAT_LNC000205)
Source: RNAcentral